Polistes dominula (European paper wasp) is the source of this 1211-nucleotide long non-coding RNA. The record is from RefSeq and is a predicted model, not a curated record. Lineage: Eukaryota; Metazoa; Arthropoda; Insecta; Hymenoptera; Vespidae.
GGUCGCACGAUGGCUCCUCGCGCGGCAGUAGAGCCCGGGACAGAUAGCCGAUCGUGCGCAACCCUUGCUGAGGCUCCUCUCCUUUCUCUUUCUCUCUCUUUCUCUUCGUAUAAUCGGGCUUCUUGUUGUUUUCCAUUUGAAACCCCAAAAUUCCGCGAAAGUGAGAUGAUAUAUGCCGGGAUAUGAUCUAUGAGAAUUGUUUCUCACUAGAAUGAUUUUAAUGAUAAUAAUAAUAAAUAAUAAAAGUGCCGGUUGUGUUACUGGCAAGUGUUUUCGUUGUUGUUCUAAAUGGUGAUGUGUUCGUUAAGAUUACUGUCAAUGAGUAAAUAUUAUGCACGAGUAUGAACAUGUGAAACUGGAAUAAUAAAACGGAAUGAAAUUUUGAUCGAUGAUCAACAUUGUUUGUAAAAGUGUUGGGCCAUGGUGGUAGUGAUGGUUCUCAAAAGUAAAGAGAAGAAAAAAUUGCAAGAAAACUUAAUAUAAUAAAAAGAAGGAGGAAGAGGAGGAGAAGGAAGAGGAGGAGGAGGAGGUGAGGUGGAGGAGAGGGGCGACUUCCGAGCACAAAAAAAGGGUAGCUCGGGGGUUCGUCGUAGUAAUUUUUUUAGCAGGGUUUGUCCUUGAGAAUGGAAGUUAGGGUUAACGUGGAGAAGACGAUCAGCGUGCAGGUAGCAGAGUUGUUGUUGUUGAGGGGAGGAUUUAAAGAACGCGAAGAGGAAGAAGAAGAAGAAGAGGAAGAAGAAGAAGAAGAAGAAGAAGAGGGGGAAAGUGGUGGUCGAGUCAGGGAGGAAAAAGAAAAGCUGGAGGAGGAGGAGGAGGAGGAGGGAAAAGAAACGAAGAAGAAGAAGAAGGUGGUGUUGAAGGUGAAGGUGGUGUUCGGUGAGGUGCUAAGAGAAAGAAGAAUAGGAAGAAGAGGAGGAGGAGGGUGGGAAGGAGGGCCCCACAGAUGCGGGGCCCGGUGUGCCGGCGAGUCCGCGGCGGCGUGACGCGAUGCGGACGACCUUUUCCUCGUUUCUUUCGAGGAAGAGGAAGACGAAAGUUGAAUACGAAUUGUUGGCGAAUAAUAAUAGUUCUGGAUGGUAUGUUAAAAAAGGAUCAUCGUCUAGCGAGGAAUUGUCAUCUAGGUCCUCUCAAUUGGUCCUUAGACUUUUCGAGGAUAAUAAUAAUAAUAAUAUUAAUAGUAAUAAUAAUAAUAAUAAAAGUAAUAAUAAUAA